This 1006-nucleotide long non-coding RNA is filed under the name Sus scrofa (pig). Its description in RNAcentral is "lncRNA (ENSSSCG00050036362.1)". The record is from RNAcentral. Lineage: Eukaryota; Metazoa; Chordata; Mammalia; Artiodactyla; Suidae.
AUAGCUGCCAAGGACAGAGAGCACCACCAUAUCACAGUGGGUUCAGUCUCUGUUGACAGGCUGGUCUGCAAGUGUGCUUGAGGCAUCAGAAGCUACCACUGGGGAUGGAGGUCCUUUGGGGGAAACAUGAAUUGAUACAUGAAAACACACAUCUUUCAGCCCAGGGACUCAUGCCAGAGGUCAGAGGACAGCUGUUUCCCCUCAAAUCUCUGAAGAGCAACCAAAGUGCAGAGAACCUGCUCAUUUGCCUGGGUAACAUCAGACAGCAUGAGUAGAGGUAAGAGAAUACUCUCCCUGUUCCACUUGUCUUGCUGUAUAGCUGCUGUACAGAGAAUGUGUGUACCCACCCCCCAAAUUCACGUGUUGAAAUCCUAACUACCAAGGUGAUGGUAUUAGGAAGCAGGGUCUUUGGGAGGUGCUUAAAUCACGAGCGUUUAGUUCUCUCACAAGUAGGAUUAGUGCCUUUAUAAAGAGAAGCCUAAGAAAGCUCCCUUGCCCCAUUUCCACCACAUACAUUUACAGCGAGAGAUGCUGUCUAUGAUCCGGGAAGGUGGCUCUCACCAGACACCAAAUGUGCUAGUGUUGUGAUCUUACCACUUCAAGCCCCCAGAAUUGUGAGAAUUUCUGUUGUUUAUAAUUCACCUAUCCACCCAUCCUAUGGCAUUUUGUGAGAACAGUCUGAAUGGACUAAGAUAGAAAUUAAUCACUCUAAAACUUAGUAGUGUAAACCAGUAAUCUUUUUUAUGUUAUUAUUUUGCUCAUGAUUUUGUAGAUGAGGAAUUUGAUUAGAGCAAGUAGGAAUAGCUCACCUCUGCUCAUGACUAUGUCUUUAGGUGGUUCGAAUGGAGGGAGAGUUGGGAUGGGGGUCCUAUGUCUGGGGCUCUAGUUUGGACUGUCGUCUGGUUCCUCAGCUCUUCUCCAUGUCAUGUCGGCUGGAACUGAAUGGCCAGGAUGGCUUCCUCAUGCACGUCUGGUAUCUGGGCUGGGCUGGGAACAGUAGGGGCGC